Long non-coding RNA from Triticum dicoccoides, 2856 nucleotides. RefSeq lists it as uncharacterized. The transcript is spliced from 10 exons. Lineage: Eukaryota; Viridiplantae; Streptophyta; Magnoliopsida; Poales; Poaceae. The record is from RefSeq and is a predicted model, not a curated record.
CCCCCUCUCCUCACUUUCGUCUUCCUCUCCUCGCACGCGCAACCUUUGCCUCCACUCCCUCGCCUCUUCCCCUUCUUCUCCUCGACAUCUCCACGAGUGGGGGAAUGACGAACUCGAGCUUGGCGACAGGGAUUCGAGCGCCAGCACUCCAUAUCCGGCGGAGGGUUUGCGCGCGGGUGGCGGCGAUUUCGAUCUGUGUGUGCCUCGUUGCUGGAGGCGGCUGCCCGAUCCAGCAACUGGUGAAGCAACUCCCGACCAGCGACCAUCCCUCCUCGCCCGUGUCUCUGCCCCGCACUCGUUUCGCCAGCAACCUCGACUAGAUCGGCAUCUGGUGCAGGAGGCUCGGGGUGGUUGUGGGCCUCGUGGCGGCGGCCUCCUCAGCGGCGUCGCCGGACAACCUCCACGCGCGGAGGAGGCAUCUCCACGGGUUCCCCGAGCCCGACCAUGGAGUAUGGGACGAGAAUGUUUGUGGCCAGCUAGUGGAUGCGGGUCGGAGCAGCGGGACUCCCGCCUAUGCCUCGCGCGGCUCGGAGAGACGCUGAGCUCCAAUGACCCAUGGACGCGCCGGCGAGUGCGGGUGGCCCGCUCGAUGCUUUCAGCCGGAGAUUCACAGGAAGCUUGCGACGUUGCUACCCUCCAUCUCCCUCACACACGACUUACGCCGUCGCCAGGAUCCCCAUUUUCUUCCUGUACUGGUGCUGCUAGCUCCUUGGCGACCGUUAUGACGCCAUAUGUGGCUUCACUCGGCCCCUCCUCCCCGGCAGGAGCCUUCUUGACGGAUUAAAUCAUGCUAUCUUGCUAUUUGCUUCCAAGCCUAAAUAUUUCUCAUCCAUACAUGAUUUUAUCUAUAAGUUUGGUCGCGACAUCGACUGCCUAUCUUGACAACAUUGGUGCUGAAGUUAUCGAGCCUCCAAAGAAUGGGAUAUUCAAAUGUCACAGAACUCGUCGGUGAUGUUAUCGAGCAUUCAGGGAAACCAAAUGUCAUAGUUUCUACAAAUGUGCAUGAGCUAUUGGAAUGCCCUGUGUGUUUGGUUCCCAUGUAUCCUCCAAUUCAUCGGUGCUCCAAUGGUCAAACCAUUUGUUCUGAAUGCAAGCCAAGGGUUCAUAAUGGCCGCCCAACUUGCAGGAGUGAAUUGGGUAACAUAAGAUGCCUUGCUUUGGAGAAGGUUUUAGGUUUUUGUUGAUUUAUGUGAUGGAAUCUUGAUAUGUAGCAUGACUUCCGUCCUGGACAGUUGCCGGGAAUGCGUUGAGAAAAUGCAACAUGACUUGAUGUUUGAAGUUACAGCCUUACAGGAGCAUCAACACAAAUUUGCAACGACGAAGUUUAUACCAUGCUUGUGUAGUCAGUCUGAAGCAUUUGCCUUUGGAAUUAAAGAAGAUCAGAGUAUGACACUGACCUGAGAUCAUACGAAGCGAUUUCAGUGCUAGCAAAUAUGCUAAAGACAUACAGAGAAGGCAAUCAGUGCAGUGGAUUCCAAUAUUGAUGCGAGAAAAAUGCCUUUGGGUUGAAGCCCACUUACUAAUAUUCUCAUGGUCUAUGUGUGUGUGUGUGUAGCUAUUCCUAUUUGUGAUUACCAUCUUGUAGGAUGUUAAUCAGUACCUUACCUUUGACUUCCAUUCAAAGGCCCUGUUUGGAUACUCUAACACAGUUAGAGUUAGAGUUAUUUUCUAACCCACUCUAACCCAAAUAAGCACCUCUCCACCGGGAUAGUUGGGUUAGAUGAAACUAACCCACUCUAACCCUCCCUGUUUGGAUACUUUUGGGUUAUUUGAGCCCCCAACUAACACAAACUAGCUCUAACCCCAUGAUCCAAACAGGGCCAAAGUUGAAGCGAUUAUUACUUAUCUAUUUAUCUAUUUCAAUGAAUAAGCCCACUUACUAAUAUUCUCAUGGUGUUUUAACAAAUAUAUAUACCAUCGGCUUGACGGCGAGGAGGAAAGCCCCGCAGAUCGAGGAGGACGGCGCUACGACUGUGCUGUAGGUGAAGAGCAUGGUCAUGUCAUGGUACCGCAUAUCGGUGGUGGUCCGCUUGCCUGCUAUGGCGUCCAACACGACUACACCCUUUUACUUGGCUGCUAUUUGAUUGGGAGGGUGCUCUUUUGCUUUAAAGACAUGAUUGGUGGAUGUAUUUUGGUUUUAUGAUGGCCAGGUUGAGCAAAAUCACAUGGUUUUUUUUUUCAAGUUUGAGAAGAAAAAGACACCGGAACAGUCUGAUAAAGUAGAUCUAUGCUAGCAACUAGCAUCAUCAUUCUUUGUGCUGGAUUGGUCAAACGUUGGACAUUUGAAGAGAAGGAACUUCGUGUGAGAUUAAUAUCUUUCUGAUCAGUAGCAUCAUCCGUGACAAGGAUGUAUAAUGAAUGGCCAUUAGAAGAGAGGAAAGGACGGGCAGAAGGUUUGCUACACAAUUGAACAUGUUCCAUUAUUGAUUGAUUUUCAAUAUUGGUGCAUCUGGGUCCCACGCCGUGGCGUGGACACGGUGGCCCUGCCGAAGCGGGUGUGGUCGAGCCACUGGAUGAUGUAGCCGGUGGCUCCAUUCAUGCACAUCGGCUGGUCCUGCUCCGGCGAGCAGCCGCCGCCCUUCCUGUCCUGAUAUCGCCUUGCAUCUCCUUUAGGUGAGGGUGUUGGACGCGGAGCAGGGAGUAAAAAAUUGUGGAGCUGUCAGUCCGUAAACGCUCUUGUAAGAGUUUUACUUAUCCACACCCGAAAAGCAGCUAAGCUGCAGUUUGUUAGUGAAUAGUGAUGUGCUACAGUUUCACUUAUAUGGAAAGAGACGAGAUUCAUUUGCAUUGCUUGUAAUGCUUUUCUCUUUGGAUCAAAGAGCUCACCAUUGUCGUGUAUAUGUGCUAACAAGAGGU